Molecule: small nucleolar RNA, 75 nt
Organism: Hyla sarda
Lineage: Eukaryota; Metazoa; Chordata; Amphibia; Anura; Hylidae
Product: small nucleolar RNA SNORD83
Exons: 1
Source: RefSeq, a predicted model, not a curated record
GCCAUAUGAUGAUCAAAUUUCUCAAGAACUUCUUGUGAUGCUGACAUCUUAUCUAUCACCCUAUGACUGAUGGCU